CAGCCGUAAACUAUGCGCGUUAGGUGUAUCGGUGACCACGAGUCACCGAGGUGCCGAAGGGAAACCGUGAAACGUGCCGCCUGGGAAGUACGGUCGCAAGGCUGAAACUUAAAGGAAUUGGCGGGGGAGGCACCACAACGGGUGGAGCCUGCGGUUUAAUUGGACUCAACGCCGGGAAGCUCACCGGAUAAGACAGCGGAAUGAUUGCCGGGCUGAAGACUCUGCAUGACUAGCUGAGAGGUGGUGCAUGGCGUCAGUGACU
Molecule: ribosomal RNA, 262 nt
Filed under: uncultured archaeon
Lineage: Archaea
Description: partial 16S ribosomal RNA
Rfam family: Archaeal small subunit ribosomal RNA
Source: RNAcentral